RNAcentral lists this long non-coding RNA (227 nucleotides) under Carica papaya (papaya). RNAcentral describes it as "long non-coding RNA (CPAP_LNC004689)". The record is from RNAcentral. Lineage: Eukaryota; Viridiplantae; Streptophyta; Magnoliopsida; Brassicales; Caricaceae.
GAAUCAACUCCUAUAACCCACUCACCGUAUGCAGUAUCGAAAUUUAACCACUUAGGAAACCUCUCCCUCUAAUUGAAUCUCCAAUCCAAAAAGAAAUACAAAAACAAUGACUAAGGAAAAUAAAACAAAGAAAGGAAAAACGUCACGGACUUACCGAUAAGUUGAUCCCUCCUCCUUGGCUCAACAAGACUUCUGAAGGCUUCAGCUUCUUGAAGAACUUGAAGGAG